This 709-nucleotide long non-coding RNA is filed under the name Helianthus annuus (common sunflower). RNAcentral's name for it is "hypothetical non coding rna". The record is from RNAcentral. Lineage: Eukaryota; Viridiplantae; Streptophyta; Magnoliopsida; Asterales; Asteraceae.
UGCGUCUCGACUCAGAGGUUAGAUCUCCAUGGCGUGUUGCUUCCACCAUUCUAACAAUAAUCGUUGCAACAACUCCGUUAUGGAUGUCUAUGGGAUUAUAAGAAUCGAUCUGAUUGUUAUCGUCACAAACCCUCCUUCAUAAACAGAUUUGCCUCCUCUCUCUCUCUCUCUCUGUUUCUCCCGAAUUCCCGGGAAACUCGAGAUCGUACCUGCUCCGGAGCAUUGCUACUGUGAAUCAACACGGGAAAUAUACUCCGCUUGGAACGCCUCCAUUUGACUGUGAAGGAUUCUUGUAGCACAACCGGUAACCAUUGACAACCGUACGAAUCUUAACUCUUAAUGAUUUCGCAGCUGAGGUCUUUGUGGAGGCUGGUUGACAAAGAAGCAGUGAAGCCCUGGACAAACAAAAGCAUAACCGCAGUUCAGGUAGUACCAAGGUAACUUGGAGCACCAAUGGAACCGAACACGCCAAUGACAAAACUAAGGAAGGCGGAAAAUGGGAAGAACUCAUGACACCCACAACAAAACACAUGUAAACAAUGACUUAGAAGUAUCAUAUCAUCUUCAUCUUGGUUGUUUUUGUUAGUUUGUGUUUUAGAACUCGCAAGUCAUAGAUCUUUACAUUUUUUAUUUUAUUUUUUCACAUGUAUUGUUCUAUCUAAGCACAUUUCCUCCAUAUAUUGUGAGUUCAUAGAAAUUUGUAAAUUUU